UUACAUGAUUCCAUGCUUCCAAGAAAAGCAUCUAGAGAGAGAAGUAGUGCCCGUACCGCAAACCGACACAGGUAGAUGAGGAGAGAAUCCUAAGGCCGCCGGAAGAAUUGUAGUUAAGGAACUAGGCAAAUUGACCCCGUAAGUUAGCGAGAAGGGGUGCCUGCGAGAGCAGGCCGCAGAGAAUAGGCCCAAGCAACUGUUUAGCAAAAACACAGGUCUCUGCUAAAGCGCAAGCUGAUGUAUAGGGGCUGACGCCUGCCCGGUGCUGGAAGGUUAAGGGGAACACUUAGCGCAAGCGAAGGUGUGAACUUAAGCCCCAGUAAACGGCGGCCGUAACUAUAACGGUCCUAAGGUAGCGAAAUUCCUUGUCAGGUAAGUUCUGACCCGCACGAAUGGCGUAAUGACUUGGGCACUGUCUCAACUGCAAAUCCGGCGAAGUUGUAGUGCGAGUGAAGAUGCUCGCUACCCGCGAUUGGACGGAAAGACCCCGUAGAGCUUUACUGUAGCUUAGCAUUGAAUUCCGGUAUUGUCUGUACAGGUUAGGUGGGAGACUGGGAAACUAGGGCGUCAGCCUUGGUGGAGUCGUCCUUGGGAUACCACCCUGACAGUACUGGGGUUCUAACAGGACGCCAUGAAUCUGGUGACUGGACAUUGUUAGGUGGGCAGUUUGACUGGGGCGGUCGCCUCCUAAAAAGUAACGGAGGCGCCCAAAGGUUCCCUCAGAACGGUCGGAAAUCGUUCGUAGAGUGCAAAGGCAGAAGGGAGCCUGACUGCGAGACCUACAAGUCGAGCAGGGACGAAAGUCGGGCUUAGUGAUCCGGUGGUACCUCGUGGGAGGGCCAUCGCUCAACGGAUAAAAGCUACCUCGGGGAUAACAGGCUGAUCUCCCCCAAGAGUCCACAUCGACGGGGAGGUUUGGUACCUCGAUGUCGGCUCGUCGCAUCCUGGGGCUGUAGUAGGUCCCAAGGGUUGGGCUGUUCGCCCAUUAAAGCGGCACGCGAGCUGGGUUCAGAACGUCGUGAGACAGUUCGGUCCCUAUCCGUCGCGGGCGUAGGAAAUUUGAGAGGAGCUGUCCUUAGUGCGAGAGGACCGGGAUGGACUGACCUCUGGUGCACCAGUUGUUCUGCCAAGAGCAUGGCUGGGUAGCUAAGUCGGGAAGGGAUAAACGCUGAAAGCAUCUAAGCGUGAAGCCUCCCUCAAGAUGAGAUUUCCCAUAGCAUAAGCUAGUAAGACCCCUUGAAGAACACGAGGUUGAUAGGUCAGAGGUGUAAGUGUGGUAACAUAUUUAGCUGACUGAUACUAAUAGGUCGAGGGCUUGACCG
This 1322-nucleotide ribosomal RNA is filed under the name metagenome. RNAcentral describes it as "bacterial LSU rRNA". It matches the Rfam family "Bacterial large subunit ribosomal RNA", at positions 1590 to 2925 of the family's 2925-position model. The record is from RNAcentral.